Molecule: ribosomal RNA, 324 nt
Filed under: Triticum aestivum (bread wheat)
Lineage: Eukaryota; Viridiplantae; Streptophyta; Magnoliopsida; Poales; Poaceae
Description: partial small subunit ribosomal RNA
Source: RNAcentral
AUGUGUGGUGGCUUUCCACUUUCCGAUAUAUUUUUUCUGAGUGGAACGUUGAAUAUAAUAAGGAACAUAGAAACGGGGUAUAUUUGCAUUGUUAAAUAUUUAUAUUUGACAAAUUUGUUUGGUUGUAUGGUUUGGAAGGUAGUAACUGGGAAAUUAAAUGGACUUGCUUACAUGCCAGCCUAUAUACCUGCAUACAUUUUAGCCAAGUUCAUAGCAGCGCAACACACAAGGUCUUUUACUCGUGAAGGGACACUGGUGAGCUGUGAGCGCAAUCAUUUUAUAAGGGGAUUAAAUAUUUUAUGUUGUAAUGUAAGCACCACUUGA